UUUUUCCGGUGGGGGCUGCGGGAAGGAU
Molecule: ribosomal RNA, 28 nt
Filed under: Pleurotus eryngii
Lineage: Eukaryota; Fungi; Basidiomycota; Agaricomycetes; Agaricales; Pleurotaceae
Description: partial 18S ribosomal RNA
Source: RNAcentral